Long non-coding RNA from Gopherus flavomarginatus (Mexican gopher tortoise), 2279 nucleotides. RefSeq lists it as uncharacterized. The transcript is spliced from 2 exons. The record is from RefSeq and is a predicted model, not a curated record. NCBI's taxonomy places the organism in Eukaryota, Metazoa, Chordata, Testudines, Testudinidae.
CGGCAGAGCGCCCUCCUUGGCGUGCUGCCGUGCUUGGGGCGGCGAAAUGUCUGGAGCCGCCCCACCUCGCUCCACUGUAGCCAAGCGUUUUUACUAGCCUUGCAGGGCCGGGAGGGCUGCUUGCUGCUAGGCCUGAGUUGGCCAGCUGGAGGCAUGCCUCAGCCAGGGCCUGAACUCCAACCCAGCUGAAGGGGCCCCUCCCUGUCGAUUAGGGACUGUUUGUGCUUGCAGCAUAGGCACCGUCAGGGCUGGGGUAAGGGUCUAGAACCUGCGCCUGCAGGGCUGCCAGGUCACAGACACCCAGCUGCAGCCCAUGGAAGGUAUUUAAGAUUCUGGGAUGGGGAAUGGGCCUGGACCCAGGCAGUGGUGCCAGCAGAGCCAGCGGGUGUCUCCACGUUUCUGAACCACGGGCGGGGAACUCGUUUUGGGUCUGGUAGCAAAAGACCCCAGAGUGAAUGGACUAACCAGGGCCUCUUUCCUUUUGCAGUCCCCCGUUAGCUCCCAUCCCCAGGAAUGAAUCCCUAACAUAGAUUUCAUCUGACCCCAGUGCAGGCUCGAGGCAAUGACUGUAAGGUGGGUGCACAAUGGGUUGAACCCCGCCCCCCAGUAGCUCUCAGUGGUUUACUGUCGAGCUGGAGGGACGGAGCUAGCGGGAUCCUGCAGGGCUCUGCCCUGGGGCUGGUCCUACUCAAUCUUUUUGUUCAUGACUUGGCUAAUGGAGCGGAGUGUGCGCUUAUGGCUCUGGCAGAGGACACCAUGGGAGGGGCUUGCAGCACGUUGGACAGGGUCAGAAUUCAAACCAACCCUGACUAACUGGAAAAGGGGCCUGAAUUCAACAAGAUGAACGUCAAUAAAGUGCAAGUCCUGCACUUGGGAAGGAAAUGAAAUGCACGGCUACACCCUGGGGAAUCCUUGGAUGGGGGCAGGAUGGUAGAAAAGGAUGAGGGGUUACGGUGGAUCACAGAUUGGAUAUGAGCUACUGCGGUGAAGACUAAUAUUCUGGGGUGUAUUAACAGGAGUGUGGUGUGUAAGACACGGGAGGGAACUGUCCUGCUCUACUCAGCACUGCUGAGGCCUCAGCCAAGUGCUGUGUCCAGGGCAGGCACCAGCCUUUUACAAGGAUGUGGACAAUUUGCUGGCAGGACAGAGCAGAGCAACAAAAAUGAUGAAAAGGUUUAGAAAAGGUGACUGUGAGGAUUAAAAACACUGGGCAGGGUUAGUUGUGAGACAAGACUGAGGGAAGCUGGUAGCUUCCCCCCAGGUCCACGAAUCUAACCAAGUCGUCUACAACUCCCUGAGCUCUUUUAAGCCCGAUCUGAGGAGCUGGCAGCAGCAGAAGGCCAUGGAAUGAGUGGUCGACCUGCGCGGCGCAGAGCCCUGCUAGUGCGCCCCCAUCAGCAUGCUGCUGCUCGGCUUGCACGAAGCACGCCGGGACUGCAGCUAGGCUGGGAAGCAGGGGAGCCUGGAGGAUCUGCUCAUUAAUUCACUGCCUGUAGACCUGGCUCUGUGCCUGCGUUUAGUGUCUGAAAUGGGGCUAACUCAGCCUGAGACAAAGUGAACGCAGCACUUUGAGCUGGUAAAAGGGCAGGAGUGUUACUGGGGUCGCUUCUUCCUAGGCAGCGCCUAGGGCCAUCGCCCCCCUUCAGACCAGGCAUGCGGCACUGUCAGAACCAGUCGGCAGCCUGCGUGUGCAAUGAUCGCACUCGAUCUCGGUCCAUUUCAUGGAGGGGGGGGGGCAGGCAGCCCCAUUCAUAAUUAGCCCCUUUGUUGGGAAAGAAGCUGAGAGGACUAGAGCAGUGGGCUCUGAGCGAUGCCCACUGCCUGGCUGUUCGGGGGGUGGGACUCCCACCUCCAGGGCGUUUCACCCACACUGGCUUCCACAGAACUUGUACGUUACAUUAAUUUACCAGGAACUCAGCUUGAGCUAACGCAGUCGCACCACUAACCGACCCAUAGCGCUUGCUGGAGAGAACAUACUACCACCAGGUGAGGAAAGGGCAGAGAAGGAUGGGUAAUGAGACAGGGUGGAGGCACAACUGAUUUCAGCUGCUCUCUUUUCCCGGGGGGAGCUGCCAUUAGGGGAAUCGGGCAGAGAACUCCAAGGACUGCAGAGGUUCCAGAGAGGUUUAAUUGUUAUUUGUUACAGGAUUUCAGUUCAGUGUAGAGCUGGGUUUGGUUUUGUUUUUUUUGGUAGAAAAAGAGAUUUGUCUUAAAAACUUUAUAUAGAUUUGUGGUCUCUCUAAGCACAAAAUAAAAGCCGAACGCAGUCAGUUCCCACA